CUCCACAAAACAAGAAAAGCAUCAUUUAACAGGAGAAGUCUAGCCUGGAUGUUGCCAACAUUGGCAAAUUCUAGGAAGGAUAUAUUUUAAACAUAAAUGAGCGCAUAUGAAAAAUUGGCUUUAAAAAUGGCAGGCUGGUCAUUCUGCAGAUAAAAUAUCAGGACACGCUGAUCAACACGUUUAGAAACAUAAAUCAUC
Molecule: long non-coding RNA, 198 nt
Organism: Eurytemora carolleeae
Lineage: Eukaryota; Metazoa; Arthropoda; Copepoda; Calanoida; Temoridae
Exons: 3
Source: RefSeq, a predicted model, not a curated record